GUGCUCACUUGAACAGCACGUAUACUAAGUUUGGAAAGGUACAGAGAUUAGCAUGGCCCCUGCACAAGGAUGGUAUGCAAAUCUGCAAAGCAUUCCAUAUUAAA
Small nuclear RNA from Budorcas taxicolor (takin), 104 nucleotides. Lineage: Eukaryota; Metazoa; Chordata; Mammalia; Artiodactyla; Bovidae. The record is from RefSeq and is a predicted model, not a curated record.